RNAcentral lists this transfer RNA (72 nucleotides) under Camelus bactrianus (Bactrian camel). It matches the Rfam family "tRNA". From Rfam's summary of the family: Transfer RNA (tRNA) molecules are approximately 80 nucleotides in length. Their secondary structure includes four short double-helical elements and three loops (D, anti-codon, and T loops). RNAcentral also lists the same sequence under 1 other name. Lineage: Eukaryota; Metazoa; Chordata; Mammalia; Artiodactyla; Camelidae. The record is from Rfam by way of RNAcentral.
GAGGGUAUAGCUCAGUGGUAGAGCACGUGCCUAGCAUGCAUGAGGUCCUGGGUUCAAUCCCCAGUGCCUCCA